RNAcentral lists this ribosomal RNA (579 nucleotides) under Oxalobacteraceae bacterium. RNAcentral describes it as "bacterial SSU rRNA". It matches the Rfam family "Bacterial small subunit ribosomal RNA", at positions 818 to 1402 of the family's 1533-position model. Lineage: Bacteria; Pseudomonadati; Pseudomonadota; Betaproteobacteria; Burkholderiales; Oxalobacteraceae. The record is from RNAcentral.
AGUUGUCGGGUCUUCAUUGACUUGGUAACGCAGCUAACGCGUGAAGUAGACCGCCUGGGGAGUACGGUCGCAAGAUUAAAACUCAAAGGAAUUGACGGGGACCCGCACAAGCGGUGGAUGAUGUGGAUUAAUUCGAUGCAACGCGAAAAACCUUACCUACCCUUGACAUGUACAGAAUCCCGAAGAGAUUUGGGAGUGUUCGAAAGAAAACUGUAACACAGGUGCUGCAUGGCUGUCGUCAGCUCGUGUCGUGAGAUGUUGGGUUAAGUCCCGCAACGAGCGCAACCCUUGUCAUUAGUUGCUACGAAAGGGCACUCUAAUGAGACUGCCGGUGACAAACCGGAGGAAGGUGGGGAUGACGUCAAGUCCUCAUGGCCCUUAUGGGUAGGGCUUCACACGUCAUACAAUGGUACAUACAGAGGGCCGCCAACCCGCGAGGGGGAGCUAAUCCCAGAAAGUGUAUCGUAGUCCGGAUUGUAGUCUGCAACUCGACUACAUGAAGUUGGAAUCGCUAGUAAUCGCGGAUCAGCAUGUCGCGGUGAAUACGUUCCCGGGUCUUGCACUCACCGCCCGUCAAAA